AUUGCUCAGCUUGAGCUGUGGAAGGAGAAGAGCUCUGGCAAGUAUGAGAAGAAGGUGUACGUGCUCCCCAAGCACCUUGAUGAGAAGGUUGCUGCUCUCCACUUGGGCAAGCUUGGUGCCAGGCUCACCAAGCUCAGCAAGUCUCAGGCUGACUACAUCAGUGUCCCGAUUGAGGGUCCCUACAAGCCUGCUCACUACCGGUACUAGGCAGCACGACAAGAAGUUCACUCGGCUGGCCGGUUGUGUUGUGUGCCGGUAUGAAGUUCGCUACACCGGCUUGUCAAUUAACUUUUGCAUGGAUAUCAAAUGCGCCGUUGGCGUAGGAGGGUCAUCGCUUGAGCCUGGUUGAGUGGGGAGAGGAGGGAAGAGCUAUUUGCUUUUGCGGAAGAAUAAUGGCGUAAUUGGUCGUGGGGUGAAGCGGGUGUGCGUUGCCAGAAACUAUACCGUUUCUGAUUAUCAUUUGCAAGCGAUUUAUUCUAGUUAUGUGUCUUUCAUGAAUAACUUGCUUUCUUUAAGAGCAUAUUUAGUCAGAUACUAAGUUUUGCAUAUGUCUGUUUCGUUGAGUUAUCCAGCAAGCUCGUCGUGCCUUCUCGGU
Molecule: long non-coding RNA, 595 nt
Filed under: Setaria italica (foxtail millet)
Lineage: Eukaryota; Viridiplantae; Streptophyta; Magnoliopsida; Poales; Poaceae
Description: long non-coding RNA (SITA_LNC000640)
Source: RNAcentral